GCAUCCUUAUACAGUUAAUGUGCAAAUGUCUACUGUUCUCAUUUGCAGCACUGACUUUGCCUCCUGGCUUAGAACGUCUACCCAGACAUGUGCACGCAUGCCCCAAAAGCCAGAACCCUGGAAGAAAGAGCGGAAUUCUCUCUAGGAAAGCUACACUCCUGUGUCCUAGGGCCCAACAACAAGCAAGACAAGCAUAAUAGCUGGGAAACCAAUCAGCUUAAACUAAGACAGACAAUUAUCAAAAGGGCAUGUCUAGCCCGUGAGAACAUCCACCCUAAAUCCAGAAGGCAUUAUGACCACAUCUCUUCAGCUGCCAGGAUUUCAGGUAUAAAUUAGUUCUUCUACAAAGAGGGCACUUGGUCUGUAAACUGGUCCAAAGGUAAGAGUCCCACUGCUAAAGACCUAUCUCUCUUCUACACUAACAUGGUGGGGCAGGGGGGAAGAAAGGGG
Molecule: long non-coding RNA, 450 nt
Filed under: Piliocolobus tephrosceles (Ugandan red Colobus)
Lineage: Eukaryota; Metazoa; Chordata; Mammalia; Primates; Cercopithecidae
Description: lncRNA (ENSPTEG00000019724.1)
Source: RNAcentral